CAGAUAUCCCAGGUGAUGAAAACAGAAGAGCAAAGACAGUAUGAACUAAGCCCUAAGAUGGAGCCAACGGAACAUGAUGAAGCCAUACUUCAGGGUUUGGAAUUCAAUGUCUCUAGGUUCCAUUAUGUGAACGAGGUAAUGCAGGAAAGGACUGCCCAAGCUUCAGAUUCAUUACGAAAAUCUAUUCUCGAAAAGCAUGUGGAGGUAUUAAAAACCUAAUAAACUAUG
Molecule: non-coding RNA, 228 nt
Organism: Zootermopsis nevadensis
Lineage: Eukaryota; Metazoa; Arthropoda; Insecta; Blattodea; Termopsidae
Source: RefSeq, a predicted model, not a curated record